This 1366-nucleotide long non-coding RNA is filed under the name Catharus ustulatus (Swainson's thrush). RNAcentral describes it as "lncRNA (ENSCUSG00005003624.1)". The record is from RNAcentral. Lineage: Eukaryota; Metazoa; Chordata; Aves; Passeriformes; Turdidae.
UGUGAGAUACAGUGAACCCUCCUUCUCCUCCUCCUCCCUGUGCUUGUCUGGACUGGAGCCCGUGGGGAGCUGUCCUCCCCCCACGCGCACAGAGGCUUUAUCCUUCUGGCUUAUAAUUGUGCAAAUGAGCUUCUUCCCACAGCACCUCUUCCUCGCCCUCCCCCAGGACUGAUCCCCAGCCACACUGGCAGCUUCCCCCCGGGAUAAAUCCCCUCAAACCCCUCUCCCAGGACCGAUGUCCAGCGCCCUCUCCUCCCCAGGGACCCAUCCCACUGCACCCCUGGCACCCCACUGGUCCCACUGCCCUUUCUGGCCUUCCUCCACCCACUGCCCCAAGAAUCCCUCUGCACCCCCAGACACCCAACCCUGGCCCCACUGUGCUCCAGGAGACAACACAGCAAUUCCAGCCACAGGAAUUCCAGCCUCGGGAUCCCUCUGGAGACCCCAGCACAAGGUAGGGAGCCCACCCGCCGGGAUAAGGUGGUUUUGGACAAGCCCCCCUCGGAUGUGGCUCUCCCAGGGGUCCCCAAGGGGGCACUGGACACUGCCACUGCCUGAGCCCAGGGGAGGCGUGAGCAGCCGAGUUGGCAGUGGAGUCAAAGAUCGUGGCCAGCGCGGCCAAAUUGCACAUUCUGCCCAGUUUGGCCCUGAAACUACAGAGCUACAAUAAAAACAAGUUCAGGAGCGGCACCUGCUCAGGCAGCCAGAGCGGGGGAACGUGGCCCCGUGGGGCAGAGCAGGAAUCCCUGCCGGGCGGGCGGCUGGACAUCCCCCAGGAUCAUCCUGCCCACCUGCAGGGACACCCGGCCGGGCAGGAGCAGCAGUGGGAGCCGGGAGGAGGGUCCUGCCUCCUCCAGGUGGCACCGCUGGGUGCCGGGGCCGCAGAGUGGCAGCAGUGCCACUCGGGGAAGGCAGGGCUGGGGCACAAGGGACACGAGGGGCACGAGGGGCAUGAGGGGCACGAGGGACACGAGGCAGCGGGAGCGAGCAGGCGCCUUCUGCCGCCUUUCCUUUGUCCCCCGGGCUCGGCUGGCACCGUGUCCCCUCGGGUGGUCCUGCCACCACCCCAACUGAGGGAGAGGAGCUGCUCAGAGCGGGGUGCUGGAGGGGAAGAGGCUGGGCAGGGGGGUCCCGACAGGCACUACAGCUAUGGCAGGGCAGGCCCUGCCCCGGCCCAGCCCAGCCCUGCAGGGUCCCUGUGCCCCCAGAGCCCAGCAGAGCCCUGUGCCAGCCCCGCGGGGCCAGAGGAUGCUCCAUCCUGCCCUCCUCGCUCCCCCAGGAAGAUGCCAGAGCUGGAGACGGGAAGCACAAGGGUGCAGCACGGCCCCUCCCGCGGCCCAGCGGGUGAGGUCUGGCGAGGGCUACC